GCGGAGACGCAUGUUUCCGUUCACUCCUCACACCACACUCCGCCCGGACUAUGUUCGGGCGGUU
Molecule: small RNA, 64 nt
Filed under: Coleofasciculus chthonoplastes PCC 7420
Lineage: Bacteria; Bacillati; Cyanobacteriota; Cyanophyceae; Coleofasciculales; Coleofasciculaceae
Also listed under: 2 other names
Description: Microcoleus chthonoplastes PCC 7420 Cyanobacterial functional RNA 1
Rfam family: Cyanobacterial functional RNA 1
Source: Rfam by way of RNAcentral